Molecule: ribosomal RNA, 328 nt
Filed under: uncultured Thermovirga sp.
Lineage: Bacteria; Thermotogati; Synergistota; Synergistia; Synergistales; Thermovirgaceae
Description: bacterial SSU rRNA
Rfam family: Bacterial small subunit ribosomal RNA
Source: RNAcentral
GUCAGCUCGUGUCGUGAGAUGUUGGGUUAAGUCCCGCAACGAGCGCAACCCCUACUUUUAGUUGCCAGCAUUCAGUUGGGCACUCUAAAGGAACUGCCGGUGACAAACCGGAGGAAGGUGGGGAUGACGUCAAAUCAUCAUGCCCUUUAUGUCCUGGGCUACACACGUGCCACAAUGGCCGGCACAGCGGGAAGCGAGGGGGCGACCUUGAGCGGAUCCCUCAAAGCCGGUCUCAGUUCGGAUUGCAGUCUGCAACUCGACUGCAUGAAGUUGGAAUCGCUAGUAAUCGUGGAUCAGCCAAGCCGCGGUGAAUACGUUCCCGGGCCUU